Molecule: ribosomal RNA, 253 nt
Filed under: uncultured bacterium
Lineage: Bacteria
Description: partial 16S ribosomal RNA
Rfam family: Bacterial small subunit ribosomal RNA
Source: RNAcentral
UACGGAGGGUGCGAGCGUUAUCCGGAAUUACUGGGUUUAAAGGGUGCGUAGGCGGCCAUGUAAGUCAGGAGUGAAAGUUUGCGGCUCAACCGUAAAAUUGCUUUUGAUACUGCAUGGCUGGAAUUAGGAUGAGGUCAGCGGAAUGUGGCAUGUAGCGGUGAAAUGCAUAGAUAUGCCAUAGAACACCAAUUGCGAAGGCAGCUGGCUAGACCUGGAUUGACGCUGAGGCACGAAAGCGUGGGGAGCGAACAGG